This 212-nucleotide long non-coding RNA is filed under the name Linum usitatissimum (flax). Its description in RNAcentral is "long non-coding RNA (LUSI_LNC005481)". The record is from RNAcentral. Lineage: Eukaryota; Viridiplantae; Streptophyta; Magnoliopsida; Malpighiales; Linaceae.
AACUGUCCGACGUUAGGUCGACCAGCAAGCUCAGAGACGAUCUUCUAGUAGAGAUUCUAAUCCGUAGCUUCCCAGAUUCUAAUUCCGCCAGCCGCUCCAAAGUCGUCUUUAAUAACUAGAGCUCCCUGAUUUCGAGUCCCUACUUGAAUCACCGUUUCGUCUCCCACCACCAGCAAAAGAAGAACAGAAGUUGCUUCACUUGCAGAACGAGC